GGACCCGCACAAGCGGUGGAGCAUGUGGUUUAAUUCGAUGCAACGCGAAAAACCUUACCUACUCUUGACAUACUUGGGAGCUCUUGUAAUGAGAGUGUGCCUUUUGGAACCAAGAUACAGGUGCUGCAUGGCUGUCGUCAGCUCGUGUCGUGAGAUGUUCCGUUAAGUCGGAUAACGAGCGCAACCCUUACCCUUAUUUUGCCAGCGAUUCGGUCGGGAACUAUAAGGGGACUGCCGGUGAUAAACCGGAGGAAGGUGAGGACGACGUCAAGUCAUCAUGGCCCUUACGAGUAGGGCUACACACGUGCUACAAUGGGGAAUACAGACGGACGCUAAGCCGCGAGGUGGUGCUAAUCUAGAAAGUUUCUCGUAG
This 373-nucleotide ribosomal RNA is filed under the name uncultured bacterium. RNAcentral's name for it is "bacterial SSU rRNA". It matches the Rfam family "Bacterial small subunit ribosomal RNA", at positions 917 to 1291 of the family's 1533-position model. The record is from RNAcentral.